UACAGAGACUGCGAGCGUUAUUCGGAUUCACUGGGCGUAAAGGGUGCGCAGGCGGCCGAGUGUGUGAGGCGUGAAAUCCCCGGGCUCAACCUGGGAAUUGCGAUGGAGACUGCAAGGCUAGAAUCUGGCAGAGGGGGGUAGAAUUCCACGUGUAGCAGUGAAAUGCGCAGAUAUCAGGAGGAACACCGGUGGCGAAGGCGGGUCUCUGGGCAGUAACUGACGCUGGAGGGAGCGAAAAGCGUGGGGAGCGAACAGG
RNAcentral lists this ribosomal RNA (256 nucleotides) under uncultured bacterium. RNAcentral describes it as "partial 16S ribosomal RNA". It matches the Rfam family "Bacterial small subunit ribosomal RNA", at positions 524 to 776 of the family's 1533-position model. The record is from RNAcentral.